GAAGCAUAUGCAUGCAUUACAUGCUUACCCAUUAAGCUCUCUCUCUCUCUCUCUCUCUCUCUCUCUCUAUAAAUACAGCUAGCUAGGUAAAACCAUUUACACGCAGAUAGAGCUCAAAUAUUUCAUUCAUCAAAUCUAGUACUGCACUGUUCAGAGAGAGAGAUCAGAGAGAGUGAAGGAUGCCGCCGGGUUGGGGACCGGGACCGGGAGGGCCGCCCAGUCCAUGCGGUUGCUUUGGCUUUCUCUGUGAUGGUAUUUCCCGCUGUUUUUAUUUCCUGUGCUGCUGCUGCAUCCUAGAGAGCUGCUGUGGGCCAUUCUUUGGUGGGCCUCCAGGCCCUCCUGGUGGGCCUGGUGGCCCUCCUGGCGGGCCCCCGCGCUUCUGAUCGGUCCAUUUCACUCCAUCUCCUCUACUUGGUGAAUGAGCAGAAUAAACAUUUUAAAAAAGGAGAAUGAUCGAUUUGUGAUCACUGUCCUAGUGUAGUACUGCAGAUCUAUUUCUUUUGCGUGUGUUGUAGAUUGUGCAGAGUUUGGGCUGGGAAUCUGGGCCAAGGCCCAUGGAAGUCACCUUGGGUACACCUAUCUUGGGCUUGAGUGGUGAUGGAAGAGUUAUGUGGGGGAGCUGGUGAAUAGUGAUUUGUGAUGGGCCUUGAAGCAAAAGUGGGCUUUUCUCGAUCUGCAGUGAUUUUGCCUUUUUUUUUUUUUUUUUUUAAUGUUUUCGUUUGGUAGCAUUAAUUAUUUGUAAUUGAAGUAUAGAGUCGCAGGUUACAGCAUGUUUCACUUUCACUUUGUAUGAGUCAAGGAAUUGAUGUAAAAUUUAUGGUUACUAGCUAGUAUAAUUUGCAUUCUAUUAGAA
Molecule: long non-coding RNA, 853 nt
Organism: Malania oleifera
Lineage: Eukaryota; Viridiplantae; Streptophyta; Magnoliopsida; Santalales; Ximeniaceae
Exons: 2
Source: RefSeq, a predicted model, not a curated record